UGCCCAGCAAAGUCAUGUUGCAUAGAUUACACUUACAGGAAAGUUCAAGAAAUUAAAUAUAUAUCUCAUAGAAUUUUUAAUUAAAAUGCUUGCAGAAGAGAAGUAAAAGAACAGUUUGAAAUGUGUAGGAUUUAAACUGCAAACCUUUCUUGGGCGUAGGCCUGCCACCCAUUCUUUCUUUCAAAGAACGGUUCUUUAUUUAGCAUUAGCCUGUACCUGUCCUUUAUCCACUUAAUAAAGAACACAGUUUGUUCUCUGUUUCCAGCACUCUCAGGUAGGCCAGUCACUGGCUGCAGUGGACACACCAUGAAGAGGCUGCCUCUAGGAAGGAGUCUUCUUUAGCCCUGCAGGCUGGAGAGCAGAUUGCACUGUGGGACUACAACUCCCACAAUGAAGCUUGUUUUGGGAGCCCGAAGUUCACCUUUGCUCCUGCAGGCGAUAGGAGAAGGCUGGGCCUUGUGGAGCAGCCAGGCUUGUGAAGGCGAGGCCCAUGCUACAAAAGUCUCUCCCUGGAGCUGAGCAGCCUCCUUGUCUGUCGUCUUCUUCCACCCAACCUCCAGCCAAAAAGGCAGGGUGGUGCAAAGACAUCGUGACGAAUGGGGAAAGGCGUUCUGUUAGGUGUCUAAACUGGACGAUACUGCUUUAAAGGCUCGUUGAAAUAUAUGCAACGUAAACUCUUUAGUUCCGCACAGUGGAGUGUGUGAGCUGAAACAACAUGCAGCUGGAGAAGGUCACAUUUGCAGCAUUCCAAGGAGGGGCCAAAAUCAAGCCAUACCCAAGUUUAUGAAAGUUAAUCAGAAGCCCAUAAGGUGCUUUCAUUAUGUCUAAGCACGUUCACACAAGUGGAGCUUCAAAAAAGAAAUUGGCCAAAUCUCGUAAGAAGGAGGUUCAAAAGCAAAAGAAAGCUCUGGGUCGAUGGCUGUCUGCCAGAUCUGUAGCAGCUACAUCUGCAUCAGCAGCUGGGAAGAGCCAGUGAAGGAAAAGAAAGACUGCCCGUUCGAAGCUGCUGCCUCCAUACCAGGAGCUGAGACAGGCAGUGAAGCAGCAGGAGAAGACCUGUUCAAAGAUACUGCUUAUAUGCCCAGAGCUGAGACAGCCAGUGAAGUUGAAGACAACGCAGUAGGCCUGCGGAUCAAAGAUUCAGGGUCUGAUUCUCCAUAUUUUAAAUUGACGCAUGAUCCUGCCAGUUGGCCUACCGAAAUCAAUGACAGCACUAGGUGUUUUCUGGUGGGAAAAGGUCCUCAUCAAGAUUUAAAAAGAGAUUAUUCUUUUUGCAAAGAUGACCGUGGUAGAAGAUUCAAAGCAAGCUGGUUUUACAAAACCCUUCCGAAUGGUGAAAAGAUAAACAGAAGCUGGUUGAUAUUCAGUGAAAUAAAUAGGGUACUGUUUUGUUUUGCUUGUAUCUUAUUCCUGGACAAAUCCAAAACCCUAACUACUUUCUCAUAUCUCAGGAAGGGUUUUACCUCAGGGAAGCAUUUGAGUGAGGCAAUUCCACUUUAUGAAAACUCUUCCUUGCACUGCACAUGUGUGUGGAAAUGGACAGAGAUAUGCAACAGGCUGGAAAAGGUUGCAAUUGAUUAUCAUCUGCAAGCCCUGAUGGAAAUCAAAAGGAAUAAAUGACACACAAUACUGAAAAGAUUGUCUCCUAUUAUUUUGUACUUAUGUGAAAGAAUCCUUCCUCUAUGUGGAAAAGUGAGCACAUGUGAUGACCCAUGCAAUGGUAACUUCUUAGGAUUAGUGGAGCUUCUAAGUAAAUUUGAUCUUGUUCUGCAGCAACAUGUUAGUUCUGUAAAGGAGUCCUCUACGGUGUUCCCUCUAACAGGGAUUCCCAGAUGUUGUUGGCUACAACUCCCAUAAUCCCCAAGCAAAAGCGAAUGCAGCUGGGGAUGCUGGGAGUUGUAGUCAACAACAUCUGGGAAUCCCUGUUAGAGGGAACACUGGUCCUCUACCAGGCUAAUCUGGUACUUUUCAAACCACAUUCAAAAUGGAGUCAUAGCCAUUUUAGCAAAGGAAGUAAAAAGCUCCAUACCGGCAGACAUUUAAAAAAGCAAAUACUUUUCAGUUAUGAUUUAUUGUGCUCCAGAUAGUCCUCACAUGGAGCAUGCAUUCACAUACCUAAUGAUUUUCACAUACUGUACCUAAGUCAUUGGGUAUGUGAAACUCGUAGGUGAAACCAGGACUAUUGAGGAGUCAUUGUCAGGCUUUUAUGAGUGCAAGGACAAAAAGGAGAAAGCAUAGCACGGAAUGUAGAAGCUGGACUACAACAGGAGGGCCUGAUAUGGGACGUCUUUCGAGGUCAGUGCUAUGACAAUGGAUCAAACAUGGCAGGGGAAUUCAAAGGAGUUCAAGCAAGAAUUUUGGCCAAGUAUAAAUCAGCACAUUAUGUACUUUGCUUUACGCAUAGUUUGAACCUGAUUGGAGUUCAUGCAGCAUCACUGAUUCCACAGUUCAUCACAUAUUCUGCCAUUGUGCAACAACUUUUCUAAUUUUGCUCUGGGUCGUUGUUGUUUUUUUGCGUUGGGAUAUCUUGAAAGAGCAUCUCAGCCUUUCAGUGAAGCAAAAUAGCUCAACAAGGUGGUCAGCAAAAACUGUAGCUGUCAGAGCUGUUUUCACCCAGUUGCCAGAAAUAUGCAAUACACUGACUGCAAUAACUGAUGACACUCAAAUCAAUAGUGAGUGAAAGGCCGAGGCAACAUCACUAAGGAAGCAGAUGUCAAAAUACUCAUUCAUUGUUCUCUCUCCUCAGAUACCAGAUUUUUGAAAGUCAAAGAAUAUAAGAACUGCAGUCCAAAGAAAUCAGUUGAACAACUGCAUGUGAUCUUAUUAAAAUGUUGAUUGACACUCUGCAAGCAAUGAGGUGCAAUGAGGUGCAAGCAAACAAAAUAUGCAGAAUUACUGACAGGCACAGAAGAAAAAGCCAGAAGAGUUGACAGUGCAACUGAAAGCUUUGAAGAAAAAAGGACCUCCCCACCAAAAGGGAAAAGGCUUUUUGGUGAAGGACAGAGUUUAUCUGGAUAGGUUGUUCCGUGUUGACAUCUUCUACAGAGUGUUGGAUAAUAUUGCCAGUGAACUAGAGCAUCGUUUCAGUGCUGUGCAGAACAUUGAGAAGAAAUCUUCUGUGCCAACAAUGGCAACUUUAGAGAAAAUGAGUGAGGUAGAGCUUCUGCCAAACUGCAAAGUGCUUUCUCAAAUGUUUCUAAAGGACCUCUCUGCAGACAUUCUUUCUGAUGAGCUUCUCAAUUCGCAACAGACCGAGUGGAACAGCCUUGGCUUACGGAGUGUCUGUCACAGGGUGACUGCUACUUUAAAUGUGGAAAAUGGCGAAAAGAAAAACCUGCCCACCACAGGAGGAGACCUCUCAGCGUCCAAGAUCUUUGGCUCACUAUAGGACUGGGUGGAUUUCUCCCGGAGCAUGAGCGCUGGCUGCAAGAAUUUCUCUGUGGCAC
Hemicordylus capensis (graceful crag lizard) is the source of this 3446-nucleotide long non-coding RNA. RefSeq lists it as uncharacterized. Lineage: Eukaryota; Metazoa; Chordata; Lepidosauria; Squamata; Cordylidae. The record is from RefSeq and is a predicted model, not a curated record. The transcript has 4 exons.